GAUGAAGAACGUAGCGAAAUGCGAUACUUGGUGUGAAUUGCAGAAUCCCGUGAACCAUCGAGUCUUUGAACGCAAGUUGCGCCCGAAGCCAUUAGGCCGAAGGCACGCCUGCCUGGGUGUCACACGUCGUUGCCCCCCCAUCUACUCCUUCGGGAUUGCGGGGGGCGGAUGAUGGCCUCCCGUGCGCCUCGUCGCGCGGUUGGCAUAAAUGCCAAGUCCUCGGCGACGCACGCCACGACAAUCGGUGGUUGCGAAACCUCGGUUGCCCGUCGUGUGCGGUCGUCGCGCAUCGAGGGCUCGAAAAAAUUGCCGGGCUCCGGCUCGGCUUUCAACGCGACCCCAGGUCAGGCGGGGUUACCCGCUGAAUUUAAGCAUAUCAAUAAGCGGAGGA
RNAcentral lists this unclassified non-coding RNA (391 nucleotides) under soil metagenome. RNAcentral describes it as "partial contains 5.8S ribosomal RNA, internal transcribed spacer 2, and large subunit ribosomal RNA". The stretch from base 1 to 122 matches the Rfam family "5.8S ribosomal RNA", at positions 35 to 154 of the family's 154-position model. The record is from RNAcentral.